RNAcentral lists this transfer RNA (76 nucleotides) under Acidobacteriota bacterium. Its description in RNAcentral is "Acidobacteria bacterium (activated sludge metagenome) tRNA-Lys". It matches the Rfam family "tRNA". Rfam says of the family: Transfer RNA (tRNA) molecules are approximately 80 nucleotides in length. Their secondary structure includes four short double-helical elements and three loops (D, anti-codon, and T loops). Lineage: Bacteria; Pseudomonadati; Acidobacteriota. The record is from RNAcentral.
AGAUCGGUAGCUAAGCGGUUAAGGCACCCGCCUUUUAAGCGGGUUAUCGUGGGUUCAAAUCCCACCCGAUCUACCA